AGAGUUUGAUCCUGGCUCAGAAUCAACGCUGGCGGCGCGCCUAACACAUGCAAGUCGAACGAGAAAGCGGGGGCAACCUCGUGAGUAAAGUGGCGUACGGGUGAGUAACACGUGGAUCAUCUACCCUCUUGUGGGGGAUAACCCUGGGAAACCGGGGCUAAUACCGCAUAAGUCCGAGAGGAGAAAGCAGCAAUGCGCAGGAGGAGGAGUCCGCGGCCGAUUAGCUAGUUGGUAGGGUAAAAGCCUACCAAGGCUCCGAUCGGUAGCCGGCCUGAGAGGGCACACGGCCACACUGGCACUGAAACACGGGCCAGACUCCUACGGGAGGCAGCAGUGGGGAAUCUUGCACAAUGGGGGCAACCCUGAUGCAGCGACGCCGCGUGAGCGAUGAAGCCCUUCGGGGUGUAAAGCUCUUUCGGCAGGGAAGAUUAUGACGGUACCUGCAGAAGCAGCUGCGGCUAACUACGUGCCAGCAGCCGCGGUAAUACGUAGGCAGCAAGCGUUGUUCGGAGUUACUGGGCGUAAAGGGUGUGUAGGCGGUUUUCUAAGUCUGGUGUGAAAUCUCCCGGC
RNAcentral lists this ribosomal RNA (570 nucleotides) under uncultured bacterium. Its description in RNAcentral is "bacterial SSU rRNA". It matches the Rfam family "Bacterial small subunit ribosomal RNA", at positions 8 to 608 of the family's 1533-position model. The record is from RNAcentral.